Molecule: ribosomal RNA, 563 nt
Filed under: Actinoplanes sp. 340C08
Lineage: Bacteria; Bacillati; Actinomycetota; Actinomycetes; Micromonosporales; Micromonosporaceae
Description: bacterial SSU rRNA
Rfam family: Bacterial small subunit ribosomal RNA
Source: RNAcentral
GAGCGGCGAACGGGUGAGUAACACGUGAGUAACCUGCCCUGGACUUUGGGAUAACCCUCGGAAACGGGGGCUAAUACCGAAUACGACCUACAGACUGCAUGACNUGGGGGUGGAAAGUUUUUCGGUCUGGGAUGGGCUCGCGGCCUAUCAGCUUGUUGGUGGGGUGAUGGCCUACCAAGGCGACGACGGGUAGCCGGCCUGAGAGGGCGACCGGCCACACUGGGACUGAGACACGGCCCAGACUCCUACGGGAGGCAGCAGUGGGGAAUAUUGCACAAUGGGCGGAAGCCUGAUGCAGCGACGCCGCGUGAGGGAUGACGGCCUUCGGGUUGUAAACCUCUUUCAGCAGGGACGAAGCGAGAGUGACGGUACCUGCAGAAGAAGCGCCGGCCAACUACGUGCCAGCAGCCGCGGUAAGACGUAGGGCGCGAGCGUUGUCCGGAUUUAUUGGGCGUAAAGAGCUCGUAGGCGGCUUGUCGCGUCGUUCGUGAAAACCUGGGCUCAACCCCAGGCUUGCGGGCNAUACGGGCAGGCUAGAGUUCGGUAGGGGAGACUGGAUUCCU